UGGGGAAUAUUGGACAAUGGGCGAAAGCCUGAUCCAGCCAUGCCGCGUGUGUGAAGAAGGUCUUCGGAUUGUAAAGCACUUUAAGUUGGGAGGAAGGGCAGUAAGCUAAUACCUUGCUGUUUUGACGUUACCGACAGAAUAAGCACCGGCAAACUCUGUGCCAGCAGCCGCGGUAAUACAGAGGGUGCAAGCGUUAAUCGGAAUUACUGGGCGUAAAGCGCGCGUAGGUGGUUUGUUAAGUUGGAUGUGAAAGCCCCGGGCUCAACCUGGGAACUGCAUCCAAAACUGGCAGGCUAGAGUACGGUAGAGGGUGGUGGAAUUUCCUGUGUAGCGGUGAAAUGCGUAGAUAUAGGAAGGAACACCAGUGGCGAAGGCGACCACCUGGACUGAUACUGACACUGAGGUGCGAAAGCGUGGGGAGCAAACA
Molecule: ribosomal RNA, 427 nt
Filed under: uncultured bacterium
Lineage: Bacteria
Description: partial 16S ribosomal RNA
Rfam family: Bacterial small subunit ribosomal RNA
Source: RNAcentral